This 1704-nucleotide long non-coding RNA is filed under the name Malus domestica (apple). RNAcentral describes it as "long non-coding RNA (MDOM_LNC009705)". The record is from RNAcentral. Lineage: Eukaryota; Viridiplantae; Streptophyta; Magnoliopsida; Rosales; Rosaceae.
CCCUCUCCGUAAAACUUGUAUACUUUCCCAGAAAUGUAAAAUAUAAAUAUACAUAUAUAUUCUCAAAACUUCAUUUUUACUAUCUCAACAUUUUUUCUUUAUCAAUCAUGCCAUGCCAUGUCUAAUUCAACAGUUAAGUAUGGAUGCAUCAACAAUAAUCAUAUCAGGUGCAAGAAAGUAAUCAACCGGAGGCCCUCUAAUAGCCUUGUACGGUUGAACCUAGAGCUCAAAAUCUAUCACUCUCACUCUGCCGGAGUCACCUCUGUGACCUGUCCGGCCUUCUGCACACAAGUUACGCUCUAGUGCUUUCUCAUCAAUCAUCUGUGCACAUAAUCUAAGGUCACCCACCAGUCGAAAUCUCACUAACACUCUACGACUGGCCCGUCGCACCCACUCCGCGUGGACUAUGCGACCAGCAUCUACUUGGAUCCAAGGCGAGCGUGCGAUGCGGUGAAUACUAUAAGCACUAAACCAUGGUGCAGGAUUUGAGCUCAAUAUACAUCAACAUCAUCAUAACAGUAUUUAAAUACUCACCUGUGCGUCCGCCGCACCAAUUCAUACAUAUGCAUCAUAUAUCAAUUCAUAUCAUUUCAUGCAUGGCAAUUCGAUUCACAUUUUUCAUAUAAUUCUAUAUACUUUUCGCAUACUUCUAUGCAUGGCAUUUCAACUAAUAUAUCUCAUAUACUUUUAUACAUUUUCAUUUAAAGCAUAAUUUCAUGCAUUUUCAAUUUCUGGGAAAACGGCAAGUAUAUAUGUAUACGGAAAACAAAACUGCCCACUCACAGAAUACAUCGACGUGUCGAAGGUCCCUGAGCCUCCCUUAGCCAUGCCCAACGUCCGUAUAAUCCUCGCCUAUACGAGAAGUAACCAAUUUGACGUUAUUUAACGCAUAAUCCCACUCUUAGCUAAUAACUCCUCAUAUAUUGAUCAAAUUGGGUAUAUGAAUAUACCACUGUGACCUACACAACCUCAGGAUCAUCCCCAUAUUUUUAAAAUAAUUUUUGGAGGUUUCACGCGCCCCCACGCGCCUGACGUGGCACGGACCUACGCGCCCCCACGCGCGGCCACGUGCAACGCAUGCUGACGGCGUCAGUUAACGCCGUCAGGAAUAUUCCGUUAAAACCCCGGAAUAUUCCGUUAAACUUAACUGGAUACCGUUACUGCCGUUAGGAUAUUCCGUUAAAAUUAACGGAAUAUUCCAGUCUCUUCUCCGACGGUCCUUCGCCGGACUCCGGUCGCCGGAAACUGGGUAAUUUUUCAAAUCCACUAUUCUCCUUCGUUUUUCAACCAUUUUUCAUGUAAUUUAUACCAAAUUGAAGCCCUAAACACCUACUAUCACGUUGGACUAGUUUUAGGGCCUAAAAACUACGAGAUCAAACUUUUCAAAAAUUCAAGAAUUCGGCCAAACUUACAAAUCGUGAUCCUGACGUCCAAUUCAUGCCAACGAAGCACUCCGAGCUUCCUUGGGACUUCCUUAAGCUCACUGUGAGCUUGGUUUCACCUAAAACAAAGCCAAUUCGAAGUUCGUGAACAGUGCUCUUCACGGGAACUUUGAAACUAGGGUUUUUCCGAAGCAAAACUUACCUGAAAUGGAUACCAUCGUGAUCGUGGAGGUUUCAGGAGUUUGAUGGUGGUCUUAACUCCGUCGUUGGUAGAAGUUUAGGGUGGUUUUGUGGUUGGUUUGGUUCGAACGGAGAAGAAGAG